Molecule: long non-coding RNA, 514 nt
Filed under: Salvia miltiorrhiza (redroot sage)
Lineage: Eukaryota; Viridiplantae; Streptophyta; Magnoliopsida; Lamiales; Lamiaceae
Description: long non-coding RNA (SMIL_LNC011333)
Source: RNAcentral
AGGGAUGGCAAUGGGCCGGAUCUGGACCGGAUCCUGCUUGGUCCAGAUCCAGAUCCGAAUUUUUUUACUUAGGUCCAGAUCCGGCCCAGAUCUAUUGGAAUCCAAAAAAUAAAAUCCAGACCCAGAUUCAUUAGAUCCACAGGGUCUCGGGUCCAAAUCCAUACUUCUUACUCUUUUAAAACAAUUAUAAAUUUUAAAUUAACUAAAAAAAAUCAAAUUUUGUCUAGAGUAUCAACAAUUAUUUAAAAAUAAAUAUUAAAUCAUAACCUAUAUAAAAAUAUUAGUAUAAAAUUUCAUAAUAAGUAAGAAUAUGAUAUUCAAGUACUAAAUAAUAUAUUAGUAGAUACACACUUAUUUUAAUUGUAUAUAUAAAAAGGGAUGAAAAAUUAAUUAUCAUAUCAUUACAAUCAAUUUUAUCUCUAUCUUCAUCACAAUAUUCAGUAACAGUUGAACAAUGUGUCUUCCAUUUUUACAUUAAAAAGGAAAAAAAUAAUAUUAUCAAUAUAAAUAAAAG